GCGCCUCCCCGAGCUGAGCCGCGCGUCCCGAGCCCAGCCUCUCCGGGGAGGAGGGACCCGGCGGCGCGGCGUGGGUCGGGAGCGGGCGCCUGGGACUACUUCUCGUUUGAAAGUUUUCAGAGGCCAAAAGUUUGAGCCGGGGCUGCGGAAGGAUCCGGCUCUGGCGGUUGCCGCGCUCGGCGACAACUGGCGACUGAAAUUUGCAUGUGAAUAAGCGGAGGAGCCCGGGGCGGAAUGGGGAGGGCGAGGCCGCGGACAGCCGUGUGCACCGUGCGCUGGGCCGGGCGGGGAGCAGCUGAGGCCACGUUGGGGGACCCCGGGCCCGGGGCAGGGCUCUGGGAGAGUGGCCUAGCCGUGUGUGCGCCCCUAGCCCAGCGGCUUCACUCCCUCCCGAGGGCCCCGUGGCCGCGGCUUUAGGCGUCCAGAGGAUCGAUCGCCGCCAGACAUCCCUGGCCGUGAUUGCCCGAGCACUUGACCGCGAGGGAUGGGGGCGCCGCGGCCUCUGGGCAGGGGACUCCGGGCGCCCCGAGGGAGCAGCCGGGACCAGUGCCUCGCGGACGGAUUGUGCCCCGCUCCCCCAAGGGGGACCCGCGUCGACACGCUCCUCGGUCACCGUCCUCCUCCUGCCCGGGCGCCGCCUGCCUAAGGUGGCCCCAGAAAGCACAAACGGGUCGGGCGGAUCUGCCGCUGGCGCCGGCGCAGCCCUUCCCACGUGCUCCUUCCGGCUGAUUUAUUUCUCCACCACGAUGCCAGGCACGGGCACCCUGUGCCAAGCCUGGUUAAGCGCCAGGAGUCCAAAAUGCCUGCCAUAGUCCCUGCGCAAAGUUCACGGCCUCGUGCCAGGGACAGACAGCGCCCCCUCCCCACCCCAACACAGGGUGGUGAGUGCGAUGGCAGAAGGCGCGUGUCCCGGCGCCCCUCCUGGAGUAGGAGGGCUAAGCCUGCCCUGCGGGGAGACCGAAAGGCUGGGAGGGACCUAGGACUGUGGGGGCCUGGGGGGAGGGCUGCAGAAACCCCAGAGCAUGGUGGCAGAGGCAGGCACAGAAAGCAGGACAAAUCUCACACCUGACCCCAGCAAGCCUUUCCUGGCACACCUCUUGCCAAAUGCUGAGCACUCUGGAAACAGCCAGUGCAGGCGGCCUGUCCCGCCCCUGUAGCUGCUGCUGGGAGCCUCCCUCGCCUGCGUCCUCCCAGAAUCUGGCCUCACUUCUGCAGGCCUGGGGUAACAUCUUGGGGUCAGCGCCCCAGGAGAGGAGGCGCCUGGAGGCAGCAGAGAUGUUUAUGUAACAGCAGCCAGGCAGCCUGGAGGAGCAGAUUUUCCAUAGAAGGAAGCGCGGGGCUGUGCAGCUCCCAGGCUGAGGACUCUGCCCACCACGACGUCCUCUGCUCCUGGUGGGUGGGGGUGGGGUGGGGCAUAGGGAGGCCCGAAGGCCUCAGGCCUGGUGCUGAUCGGGUGCGGGUGCGACUGCCUGUGUGCCUCCAUUGGCAUCUCUGCCUGUGGGCCCCAGGCCAGAAGUAAUGGCCCAUGUAGCCCAGGCCCGGGGGCCAGUCCUCAGCAUUUUGCGGAGGGGCGGCCUGGGAGGGGAGGAGGGGAUCCCUGGAUAGGGGGUCUCCCCUGGUCUGCCCCAGCUGUGCCGACAGCACCUCCACCUUGGGCCUCCAUCCUCUACCAGCAGAGAAGAGAGUGGCCCAUUCGGUGUCCACCCGUCAGGCCACCCAGCAGCCAGGCACGCUCAUAAGCCCGCGUUACGGAUGGUGCGGCCGGGUGCACAGGCCCGAGGGAAGCACAGGCCUCGGCCUCCCAGCUCCCAACCCCUGCACCACCCACAGCCGGGAGUACCCCAUGGACAGCUGUGGCCGAGGAGAAGCCAGGGAUGAGGGGGAUGGGCCUCACCUCCCCACCAGCCUGGGAAGGGGGUAGGCCCCUGGCAAGUAGGUGAGAAGCUUUUUCAUUCACAAGUUGUCCGGGCUCCCCAUUCCUCUUUGUCAGGCCAGCGGGUGUGGGCAGUCGGGGGAGGCUGGGGUCCUGACACAACAGGAGUACAUCUGCUGGCCUAGGGCCUGGAGACCUUCUCCUACAGGUCGGGAGGCAGCCCUGGGCAGCGGGCAUUGCGGGGACUAAAGAGAAACAAGAGCAGGUUGUGUGCAGGGCACCCCAGCCACUCCAGAAACCCAAUGGGAGGGUGGGGGCUAGGACCCCAAGAAGCUGAAUUGGGGUGCAGUGCCGCCAGGCCUCCCCUGUAGGAGUCACUUUGGGCUUCCUGUCCCAACUUGUGGUGGGAGCUGGGGCAAGGUUCCAGGGGUACCCCGAAUGAAUGGGGCUGUUCCCAAGCUGGCCAGGGAGCCUGGAAGCAGAUGAGAUGGGGCCGCAGAGCCUGGUUUGCGGAGGGGAGAGGCAGACGUGUCCUGCAGCCCUCUCUUCUUCAGAGGCCCCCUGCGGGUGCUGAGGGGAGAGUGGCUUAGGCGUUGCACCCCAGGAGACUGAACUGGGUCAGUUCCCCCUUGUUUGCUGCCAGAGAAAUGGGGGUACCAUUGUCAGGGUGAGCUAAGGAGGCCCUGCUGACAUUGGCCCAACCAGGCCCCUCCUUUGCGGCUGCUGUGGGGACUUUCGAGAGCAGAGCACACCCCUAAGUGCGUGGAGAGGUAAGCACAGCUGGUGAGCACACGGGGACAGCGACGGAGCUCAUGGAGACCCAGGUGACCUUAAAACACCCCAGGGCCGGCUCCGGCCCCAGAGAGAUGUGGUCCGAGUAGAGGGGGGUCAGCAGUGACCUGGUGGGUGGGUGUAUUUGAGGGGUGCCUGUGUUGAAAGCUCUGCAGUAGAUUCUAAGGAGCAGCCAGGGCUGAGACUCCCGGUGCUGAGCCCAAGGCCCCUUUCCUUCCUGCAGGAGUUCAUCUUGGCUCUUGCAGCCCCCAUGACCCUGUGGCGCUGGGGGGCGGCUAGCAUGAUGCUCCCCAUUUUUCAGGAGGGAAGCUGAGGCUCAGAGACAUCAUGAGGAUGCCAGCUCAAGGCCCAGCCAGGCCUUGGUCCUCAGCUGCUGUCAUCCAGUAGGGUAAGUGGGACCCCCAGGAGGUGUUGGGGGACACUCCUCCCCUCCCCCACACUCACAGUCUGUUCACCGCCCAAGGCAGCAGGCUGGACUCGGUGCAGGGACCAUGGCUUGGCGUGGCCAGGUUGGAGUGGCCCCUGGGACUGAAAGCAGGGGGCGUGGGGGCUCUGAGGCGGGGCCGAGUGCGGGGACGUCCUGUGGCGGGUACCCUGCUGGGUCCUGGGUGGGGGCCACCACCAGGCAGCUGUGGGAACAUUCCAGACCACCUAGGAGUAGGGCCCCUUCACCGUUUGAAGCUGACUGUAAAAAACAUCUGACCUGUGUGCAAAGCUCAAGCCCAGAGGCCUCCAGGGUGUCCAGCCUCCAGGGUGCCUCCUACGCAGCCUCCACGUCCCCAUCCACUGCAGCCCCUGACCAUCGGGCACACCGUGGGGCCUUCGCUGGCCGCCGGGCCUCAGGUUCUGCUGCACCAAGUGAUUUUUAAAGCCCCAUCUGCCUUUCUCCACUUAUAAAGAACUUGGGACAUUUCCUCGAGGUUGGGCAUUUUUCCAGAUGUGGUUUCAGUGUCUCGCUUGCUACCUGGUCCCCUGUGCUGGGCGGUCCGCUGUGACGCACCUGGCAGUCCUUGCUCUAGGAUGGAUUCGGGCCGGCCCUUGUUCUGAGAACAGAGAACGGCCCUUGUUCUGAGGAGGCUGGGGUCUGGAAUCUGCUUCCUGGUCCCCUGCUGUGUGCAGACAGCCACCGUCACCCAGGCCCAGGGGUGCCUGCAGGUGCUGGGCAUCUCACCCUGGCCCCCACAGGGGCUCCCCAUGCCCUGCACCCCUCGGUCUGUGCCGGGGACUUCCCUGCUCUGCUGUUGCAGGCCUCGUCCUUUGCCGAGGGGGUCUCUUUCCCACGUGUCCCUGAGACUCCUCAGCCAUCCCAGAGGCUCUCGGCCGUCUGAGCACCCCUGACCAUGAAGCCUUCCUGGCCCACUCUCUGUGUGUGAGGCAGAGCCCAUCCCUACCAUUCCGACCCACACCAGAGGCUCCGGAAGGUUUGCUGACUGACCUGUGACUGCAAGAAGCUGAAGGAAUGUGGGCGCAGACCCGGCAGGGGCUUUUCUUGGUGCAAAGUCAACUGGCUGUCCAUGCAAGCCUGCUGCUGUGGCCAGCCCUCCCGCCAGGCGCCUGGUACCCUCCCUGGACCCAGUUGCCAGGACAGUGAUCCCCAGCUGUGGCCAGGACUCUGCCCGGGGCCCUGUCUACUCAGUGUCUCCAGUGGUCCCCAUGCAGAAACUGCCCCCCUUGCUGCCCAUGAGGCAUGGGAUAGGGUCAGCAUCCGAGAGGCAGGCCCUGCUGUUCCCCUCUGCACAGAGGCUGGGGGAGUGAGUUGCCCGGGCAAGUCCCCGGGCAGGCACUGGGCCUCCUGAGCAGGUGAGCUGAGAAGGCCCCAGCUGGUGUAGGCCUCGAGAGCUGCAGGACUGGCCAUGGGGCAGACCUGGCAUUGUCAUUCUAGAGCUGGGCCUGGGGGGUGGCUGGUGCAGUGCAGAUCUCAGGUGGAGGCCACCUGCCCGUCCUUUCCACGUGGCUCAGGGCUCAGACCCACCUGCCUGUCCCUGGAAGCCCCUAGACUGCUCAGAGCACAGACCUCAGUGGGAAAGACAGUAGAUAGGCCUGGGUAUGGUCUCCCAGCCCUGAGAAGUGGGGAGCCCACUCAGACCUUUCCAGGACCCCAGGUCCCCUCAGCAGCCCACAGAGCGUGGGUGGAGCCUGGGCUGGGGUUGGGUCACUUGGGAGCCAAAGGCCCAUUUCUGCUGCUUCCAGGGAGUCCCAGGGAGACGGCAGAGGCAGUGCCUGGCUGGGGCCCUGGUUGGCGUGCCGUUUGAGGGGUGCAUGCACUGGGAAGUUGGCCAGGCCUGCCCAAAUCAGGGGGCUUCCAGGAGGAGAGACAUCAGGAGGAUGGGCACAGAGGCGGCUUAGCACCAGGGCUGGCACCUCCAGAGGGACAAUGUUGGUGUCCCAAAGCACAGUCCUUUGCCCCGGAGGAGCCACCGGCAGAGCCAGGAGCCCCUGAAGGACUUUGACCACACCCCCCACCCCACCCCGACCUGUGCCUGGUGCCCCAAGUGGAGCCUGGGCCAUCCUUGACCUCACCGCUGGGGUGAUGGAGAAGCAGCCGCCCGAGGCGAGAGUUUCUCAGGUGGCCGGGGUUUCCCCCCAUUUGCUCCAGACACAUUUAAACAAGCUGAGAACUUCCGUCCCCCCAUACUCCCCCCCGCGGACCCCCACGGACCCCCUCUGCAAAUGAACAUGGGCCUGGAAAUCGGGGUGUGGGUUACAGAGAGCACGGGGAAUUCUGCUCGUGAAGUAACACGGAGCACGAACAUAAGCAGGUACCGCACAUCUGCGAGCUAUUCGGGUCUCCGGGGGAAGGCAAAAAGCCCCAACAAGCCUUAAGUAAGACCAGGACGCUUCUAUAGUUUUGCUUUGACAGCUAAGGAAAAAAUCUGCCAAAAACCAGAGGCGCUGCUGAGUGUUGGCGUGGGAAUGCUAGUUUAGUCAGAGCCUUGCUCUGGGCCAUUUAAAUAAAAACAGACAUGUUGGUGGCAAAUGCCAGUUGAACACGCAGGAGAGCGGUGCUUCUCGGGCCCGGAGAAGGGUUUGCAGCUGCACUCUCUCUUCCCUUUUCUCUUGGCCUCCCCAGCCUUCUUAUCAUCACGAUCAGCAUUUCACUGGUAAACAUUUGGUGCAAUAAUUUUCAAAAAUCAGCAAGAAAAGUCUGAGCGUUUCAUGUGGCUGUGACUGCGUGGCCCCAGCUGGAAGCAUGGAUUCCCAGCGCCUCCCAGAGCCUGUCUCCGAGGGAUACUCUAAUCACUUGAGGGCCUUUGCACGACAUAAAUCAGACCGACUAUCUCUAGAGUGGAGAGGGGGAUAAACUCACUUGUAGCAAGUGAAGGCCAGAGGCUGCCCUGGGAUGGCAUUGCCUGUUCCCAGGGGCUUGUGGUGGUGCAGCAGACAUGGGGACCCCUGGGCCCCUUCCCCUCCUUGCUGGGGAUGCCACACAGACCCACGUUCAGGGACCUGAAUUCAGAGCCUGCCCCAGGGGUGGCGAAUGUAUCUGGGACACUGAGGACCCCCCUACCGGGUGCAUCUCAUGGCCUUUUGGUCUUUUUUUUUGAGACGGAGUCUCACUUUGUUGCCCAGGCUGGAGUGUCAUGGGGCGAUCUCCGCUCACUACCACCUCCGCCUCCCGGGUUCAAGCAAUUCUCCUGUCUCAGCCUCCGAGUAGCUGGGAUUACAGGUAUGUGCCACCACGCCAGCUAAUUUUUCUAUUUUUAAUAGAGAUAGGGUUUCACCAUGUUGGUCAGGCUGGUCUUGAACUCCUAACCUCGGGUGAUCUGCCUGCCUUGGCCUCCCGAAGUGUUGGGAUUACAGGCGUGAGCCACUGCACCUGGCCAGCCUUUUGGUCUUGAAGGGUCUCUGGGAGGGCCUCAGAGAAUGUCUUGGUUUCCUCACUCUUGGGUUCCCAUCGACUGAGGUCAGGGCUGGGAAGGGGUGAUGAGCCCAGGACUCUUCUGGCGAGAGCGAGGGUCUAUGUUGGGGGGCUCCCUUCUGCCACCUCUCCUUGGUGACAUGGGGCUGGCUGGAGAGUCCCUCCGUGCCUGGGAGUUCCUCAGUGUAGGGGGGGAAGGGGGCCACUGCAAUGAAUCUGACACCAGCCCCCUCUCUCUCCGCCCUGCUGGCAGCCCUCACUCAUAUGGGGGGCGGGUCUGUCCUCCUUUCCCCAAAGCUGGGGGUCCUGAGUGUGGUUGGGGUAACGUCUGGUCCUCCUUAGAACAGUGGGGCUUGGAAUUCAUUCAAGGGAAGAAGAGUGAAGGAACGCAGAUGCCGACUGCAUGGAGCCCCCCCGGGCUGCAGCCCCUAGAGCCUGGGCGCUCUGUGAGCCAGAAAGAGAACGGCUGGGGAGAGGGCUGUGUGAGGCCCUGUUCUUCCAAGACCGCUGCGGAGGACCGACGGGGCCCAGGGACCCUGACUGAGGUGUGCCGAGCACAGCAGCUCUGGACAGGCCGCACCGGCCUCUCUGUCUGUCAUCUGUCCACCUGUUGGUGGGCAGGAACAGACCUGAUGCUGUAAGAAGAGGCCCCCAGGACCCUGCCUCUCCCAUUGGCUGAGCCUGGACUGUGGAGCCAGCCGCCCUCACACUGGGCACAGAUGACCGACUUAGGUUUUGAGAAGAUCCAAACAGCAGCAGGACGUGCACCUGGUAGGGGUAGGAGGGCCUCCCCUGGACUCAAAAGUGUAUUCGCGGAGCCCCUUCCCUGCAGCGUAGGCUCUGGGGGGACAGUGGCCAGGACGGAGGCCCUCGUGGAAAGGGGGAGAUGUGAACAGUGAGCCUCCUGCAUGCAGGCAUCUGGGAAAGAACAUUCCAGCCAAGUGGCUCUGAGCACACCCCGACCCUGGCCACCCUGGCCCUGUGGACCAACCCUGGGGCCCAGGAUUAAUGACAGCCAGUGCUCGCUGGUGCCUCCAGCCUGGGCCAGGCCUGUGGGCUGGUCCCUUCAAUGAUGGGGCAAGCUCAGCCCCGUCCACACCCUUCUCCUCCUCCUCUGUGCUUCCCUCCACCCCCAGGAGUGGGCUCCAGGUCUGUCACUCGUCACUCAUGGGGGGCUGUGGGUUGACUCGUAUUCCCCCAAAAGACUCGCUGUAUACCCCCAGAGCUUGUGAGCAGGACCUGUUUUGGAGAUGGGUCUUUGCAGAUGUCGUCGAGUUAAGACAAGGCCAUGCUGGAGUGGGGCCUGCCCUAAUCCAACGACUGGGGCCCUUGGCAGGAGAGGGAGGUUUGGGGAGAAGGCGCUGGGAAGACAGGCAGAGGCUGGAGACAGUGCAGCCCCAAGCUGGGAGCACAGGGGUUGCCGGCACCCAACAGAAGCUGGAGGAGGUGGGAAGGAUCCUCCCUAGAGCCUUGGGAGGGGGCCCGGUCCUGUGACACCCAGAUUUUGGAUUUCUGGCCUUCGGAACUGAGAGAGCACACAUUUCUGCGGUUUGAAGCCACCAAAUUUUUGGUAAUUUGUUCUGGCCAGGAAAUUAAUACCAGGGAUAAAGGUGUUUUAAUGCAGACAAAGACAGUUUUUGAAUUAACCAAGCUUUGCGCAAGGCUGCCGGGAUUGACUGGGGGAAGUGAGGGACUCAGCAGCUUCCCCGACGCUCGCCAGGCACCGGCCUCCAUACACGCUUGCUGGCGGUGGCUACGGCAGGUCGCUCUUCAGGUGAAACCACAUAAUGAGCAGCCUUAAGCCUGUCGAUUUACACAGCAGAGGCUGCCUGGCCUGGCGCUCUUCCUGGCUGGAGGACUCUGCCUUCCCCCUCUGCCUGCCUGUGGCCACUCCGGCUGCAGAGGAGACUGGCAGACGACGUUCUCAUCCCUGGUCGGGGCAAAAGUUCUGCUCAAAUAUGACAACGGUGAAACUCGGAAUAGCGACAGAGCCAACCCAUGAUUGAGGCAGGGCUGGAGGCUUUCUGGAAAACGCACGGAGAAACACGAGGGCCCAGCUGUGCCCUGGGCCGCCCCAUGAGUCCAGCCUUCUUCGUCCUAGUCCCUUCUCCAAAGAAAGGACAAAACCACUGAAAGGGUUCGUCUGGGUCACAAACGUCCCAAAUUGGCUUCCGCGUGGAAACUAAACAAGGGUAGGUCCCAGCCCCUGGGAUUCAGGUGAAACCCGAGGCCUGUCUGAGGUCACAGCGUCUUCCCGAGGACGUCAGCCCUGUUGGCUGUGUCUGGGGCCAGGCUGAGGCAUAGCGGGCCAGGAGGCCGAGCUUCCCAAAGGAGCUGCACUGUCUUUUCCUUAGAAUAUGAAAUCAAUGUCUGCCACCUUGAAUCCUCAUGGACAAGACUCCUUGGAAGCCAGCCUGUGUCAGGGCCAGCGUCCCCCAGGGCUGACACCUACACCCUCGCAUUCUCAGCGUGACUCGGGACAGUGGCAGAACCCGCUGGGUUCUCUCUACGGGAGUGCUUUUUUUUUUUCUUUUCUUUUUUUUUUUUUUUUUUUUUUUUGAGUCGGAGUUUCACUCUUGUUGCCCAGGCUGGAGUACAAUGGUGUGAUCUCGGCUCACUGCAACCUCCACCUCCUGGGUUCAAGCAGUUCUCCUGUCUCAGCCUCCCGAGUAGCUGGGAUUACAGGUGCACACCACCAUGCCUGGCUAAUUUUUGUAUUUUUAGUAGAGAUGAGGUUUCACGGUGUUGGCCAAGCUGGUCUCGAACUCCUGACCUCAAGUGAUCCACCUGCCUUGGCCUCCCGAAGUGCUGGGAUUUCUGGCGUGAGCCACCGCACCCAGCUCGGAGUGCGUUAUGACUAGAGGCAAAGACAGCAGCAUGAUCUUCAGCUUGCAAAUGAGACACAGAAUGACAAUGAAUCUUCACCGAAGUUAACUUGAACCUGGAUGGAUGAGUGGCCGGGUCGCCAAAAAGCUCCUCGGACCCUGCCAGAGUGUGAGCUCUGCCAGGAGGGCCGGGGCUCCAGGAUCCCAGGCUGGGCAGUCACUGGCUCCCCCAGGAAGGGCCACAUUCCGGUGGGCAGACAGAGGGUUGGGGAGGGUGGUGGGCAGCCAGCCGCCUGGAUCCCGGCCGGGGCACCGUCCCGCAGAGCUUGUCCCGCACAGACUCAGUUUCCUAACCCAGCAAGUGGGAGUCCACUGUGAGAAGUCCAGCCCUACGCAGAUGCGUGCGAAUCCCCUAAGAGCCAUGCCUGAGCCCUUGGCGGAAGCAGUUGGCUCCUCGUGUCAUGCAAAGGGCGGCAUUUUCAUUCCUAACAGGGAGGUGGCCCCGGAGCAUCCAGUUCAAAGGAGCUAGGAUGAUCCAGGGUCCUCUCACGUGGGCCUUGGUGAGUGGCCACACCCUCUGAGACCCCCUUUCAUCCCCAUAGAAAGGUCCUAGCAGGGCUGUGCCAGGGGGAUCCGCGGGUGGCAGGGUGGCCCCAUCUGCAGUGGGCCCAGGAGGAUAGCAACAGGACUUAGCAGUGGUGGGAUUGUAUUUCUGGGCCCUUCUUCCCCCACAGCCCACAGCCUCCUGACGGGACCCCUCCCCCCAGAACCUGAAGGACGGACCUCAGGUGUGGAGCUCCCUCACCAGACAGAGGGGAGGAGCCCAGGUCCAUCUCCUCAAAGGGACCCACCAGCCCCUCACGCGGCUGCACACAAGGCAGUCCCAGCCAGGCCCCAGGUUGAGGCAGACUCAGCCUAUGUCCUCAAGAGGCUCCCUGGAGAAGGCAGGACCCAGAAGCUUCUCUCUCGGCUGACAUGGCCUUUGCGGGCAGCCUUCCCACCCACAUCCCCAGCAUGAGCCCCAGCUCCUUGGAGCCCAGAGUCCAAGAAAUGGCCUUUCUGCCACUGACCCCUCCCGUGGAAUGGCUCCUCCCGAGCAGGGAACCUCUGCUGGGACCCGUCAGCUGCAAGAAGGCCCGUCCCCGAGAGAGCCCUGCAGGGCAAGGGGAGAGGGACCCCGGGGUAGGGGUGGAGAGCAGCUGAGGGGACAGACACAGAGAAGACCAGGCAGGGGCAUAGCCUGCUGAUGGGGGAUGCCAUCCUCUCGGUCACAGCUGAGCCAGGGCAGCCUCUAAGCUUCCUAAGUGGGGAAACCAAGGCAGAGAACCCCAGGACUGGGGCCACCGCUGUGGUCAGCCGGUUGGGGGUGGCCUGGGCCUCUCCAGUCUCCACUCUUCCAUCCAGCUUCAUGGGGAGCAACAUUUUUUUCACCUCAAGGCCAAAUUAGGAAGAACAAACAUGUUUUAUUUAUCAGUGUCACUUUUUUUUUUUUUUGUUUUAGAGACAGGGGUCUCACUAUGUUGCCCAGGUUGGACUUGAAUUCCUGGGCUCAAACAAUCCUCCUGCCUCAGCCUCCCAAGUUACUAGGACUACAGGUGCACCACUUAGUUACAUUUUUUUUAUACACGUGAAAACAGCUUUUUUGCUGGGCGCAGUGGCUCACGCCUGUAAUCCUAGCCCUUGGGGAGGCCGAGGCAGGUGGAUCACCUGAGGUCAGGAGUUCGAGACCAGCCUGGCCAACAUGGUGAAACCCCGUCUCUACUAAAAAUACAAAAAUUAGCUGGGUGUGAUGAUGGGAGCCUGUAGUCCCAUCUACUCAGGAGGCUGAGGCAGGAGAGUGGCAUGAACCAGGGAGGCGGAGGUGGCAGUGAGCCGAGAUCGCGCCAUUGCACUCCAGCCUGGGUGACAGAGUGAAACUCCAUCUCAAAAAAAAAAAAAAAAAAGAAAAGAAAAAGAAAGUAGUUUUUUUUCCCCCUAUGCUAAAAAUUCAAACAAAGCAAACAAGCAAAUUUUUAGAGAAGAAAAUUCCAUUGGCCACAAUCUGUAGCAGGGAGAGCUGUUUUUUUUGUUUUGUUUUUGUUUUUUUUUUGAGGCAGAGUCUUGCUCUGUCACCCAGACUGGAAUGCAGUGGUGCAAUCUCGGCUCACUGUAACCUCUGCCUCCCGGGUUCACGCCAUUCUCCUGCUUCAGUCUCCAAAGUAGCUGGGACUACAGGUGCCCGCCACCACGCCCAGCUAAUUUUUUGUAUUUUUAGUAGAGACGGGAUUUCACCGUAUUAGCCAGGAUGGUCUCAAUCUCCUGACCUCAUGAUCCACCUGCCUUGGCCUCCCAAAGUGCUGGGAUUACGGGCGUGAGUCACUGCACCCAGCCUGAGGGCUGUGUUUUAAAUGAAACAUGCACCUCUUUGCUCCUUGAUAUGGUUUGGCUCUGUGUACCCCCACCCCCAAUCAAGUUGUAAUCCCCACAUGAAGGAGGGACCUGGUGGAAGGUGAUUUAAUCAUGGAAUGGACUUUCCCCUUCGCUGUCUCCCUCUCCUGCUCUGGCCGUGUGAAGACAGAACCCACUUCCCCUUUGCCUUUCGCCAUGAUUUCCUGAGGCCUCCUCAGCCAUCCCUCCUGCACAGCCUGUGGGACUGUGAGCUGAUUAAACCUCUUUUCUUCAUAAAUUACCUAAUUCUCAGGUAGUUCUUUAUAGCCGUGUGAGAAGAGACUAACACAGAAAAUGGUACUGGGAGAGAGGCACUGCUCUAAAGAUGCCUGAGAAUGUGGAAGCAGCAUGGGAACUGGGUCGUGGACAGAGGCUGGGACAGUUCGAAGGGCUCAGAAGAAGACAGGAAGGUGAGGGAAAGUUUGGAACUUCCUAGAGAUUUGUUGAAUGGUUGUAACCAAAAUGCUGAUAGCGAUACGGACAGUGAAGUCCAGGCUGAGGUGAUCUCAGAUGGAGAUGAGGAACUUAUUGGGAAAGGGAGGAAAGGUCACUCUUGCUAUGCUCCAGCAAGGAGACAGGCAGCACUGUGCCCCUGCUCUAGGGAUCUGUGGAACUUUGAACUUGAGAGAGAUGAUUUAGGGUAUCUGAUGGAAGAAAUGUCUAGGCAGCAAAGCAUUCGAGAUGUGGUCUGGCUGCUUCUAAAAGCUUAUGUUUAUUUGCAUAAAGAAGGAAACGACCCAAAAUCGGAACUUAUGUUUAAAAGUGAAGCAGAACAUAAAAGUUUGAAAAUUUUGCAGCCUGACUAUGCAAUUGAAAAGUAAAACCCAUUUUCUAGGGAGGAAUUCAAGCCUGCAGAAAUUUGCAUAAGCAAAAAAGAGCCAAAUGUUAAUCACCAAGACAAUGGGGAAAAUGUCUCCAGGGCAUUUCAGAGACCUUCACAGCAGCCCCUCCCAUCACAGGCCUGGAGGCCUGGGAGGGAAAAAUGGUUUCAUGGGUCAGGCCCAGGGCCCUGCUGCUUUGUGCAGCCUUGGGACAUGGCACCCUGCAUCCCAGCCACUCUAGCUCCAGCCAUGGCUGAAAGGUAUACCUCAGACCAUUGCUUCAGAGGGUGCAAGCCCCAAGCCUUGGCAGUUUCCAUGUGCUGUUGGGCUCACAGAUGUGCAGAAAGCAAGCGUUACGGUUUUGGAGCCUCCACCUAGGUUUCAGAGGAUGUAUGGAAAUGCCUGGAUGUCCAGACAGAAGUCUGCUGCAGGGGGUGAGCCCUCAUGGAGAACCUCUACUAGAACAGUUCGGAGGGAAAAUAUGGGGUUGGAGCCCCCACACAGAGUCCCCGCUGGGGCACUGCCUAGUGGAGCAGUGAGGAGAGGGCCACUGUCCUCCAGACCCCAGAAUGGUAGAUCCACUGACAGCUUGCACUGUGUGCCUGGAAAAGCCACAGGUACUCAAUGCCAGCUUGUGAAAGCAGCCACAGGGGGCUGUAUCCUGCAGAGCCAGAGGGGUGGAGCUGCCCAAGGCCUUGGGAUCCCACCCCUUGAGUCAGUGUGGCCUGGAUGUGAGACAUGGAGUCAAAGGAUAUUGUUUUGGAGCUUUAAGAUUUAAUGACUGCUUCAGAUCACUUGAAGUCAGGAGUUUGAGAUCAGCCUGGCCAAUGUGGUGAAACCCCAUUUCUACUAAAAAUACAAAAAUUAGCUGGGCGUGGUGGCAGGUGCCUGUAAUCCCAGCUACUCGGGAGGCUGAGGCAAGAGAAUUGCUUGAACCCAGGAGGCGGAGGUUGCAGUGAGCCGAGGUCGUGCCAUUGCACUCCAGCCUGGGGGACAAGAGCAAGACUUCAUCUCAAAAAAAAAACAAAAAACCGUUUAAUGACUACCCUACUGGGUUCAGGACAUGCAUGGGGCCUGUAGGCCCUUUGUUUUGGCCAAUUUCUCCCUUUUGAAAUGGGAGCAUUUACCCAGUGCCUGUACCCACAUUGUAUC
This 13749-nucleotide long non-coding RNA is filed under the name Homo sapiens (human). RNAcentral describes it as "non-protein coding NALT1:9". Lineage: Eukaryota; Metazoa; Chordata; Mammalia; Primates; Hominidae. The record is from RNAcentral.